GCUAGGGCUGCAUAAACAGAAACAAAGUGAUUUAACUCCUAAAUGACAGUCAAUUGAGCAGUGAAAUUGCAGGGGAAUGAUAGUAAUUUAGGUGACUAUAGUGUUCAUUUAAGGUCCAUACUAUUCUUAUUACCAUCGAUGAAAGUUAUUUUUCGUAACAAUUUUGAGAACACAUGUCCUUUAAUUCUCCUUUCAUUAUCCUAUAGUUUCACACUAUAUUUAUACCCCUUCUAAUAACCUUUGAAGGGUAUUCUCUUGCCAUUAUGUUUGGCAAACUGUGAAGGUUUACUUAGUGCCUACUUAGUAUUCAACUCCUACUAAAGUCUAAAGGUGACUUAGGAGUUAACACACUUUUCUACCACGUGCUCCGUUCCAUUAGUGAACACGCCCCCUCAUCAAUUUGAUUCACGGACGCCACAUGACAUCACGCCUGAUGGGCGUACCCCAUUGUGGGUUUAAAAAGAGGCGCGUGUAAGCCCACAGUCAGCUCUUGACAAAGGCAAUAAGGUUCGCCGAAACGCACCUUGAGCCAG
Non-coding RNA from Pelobates cultripes (western spadefoot toad), 533 nucleotides. The record is from the annotation of a GenBank genome assembly. Lineage: Eukaryota; Metazoa; Chordata; Amphibia; Anura; Pelobatidae.